CGCCAGGAAUAGCUCAAAUUAGGUAAAGCACACGAGACUCGAAAAUCCUCGUGUCACCAGUCCAAAGUAAAUCCAAAGUCCCGUACGU
This 88-nucleotide transfer RNA is filed under the name Herbertus sendtneri. RNAcentral's name for it is "partial transfer RNA-Phe". The record is from RNAcentral. Lineage: Eukaryota; Viridiplantae; Streptophyta; Jungermanniopsida; Jungermanniales; Herbertaceae.